RNAcentral lists this ribosomal RNA (2532 nucleotides) under Enterococcus faecalis TX2137. RNAcentral describes it as "bacterial LSU rRNA". It matches the Rfam family "Bacterial large subunit ribosomal RNA", at positions 1 to 2547 of the family's 2925-position model. The record is from RNAcentral. Lineage: Bacteria; Bacillati; Bacillota; Bacilli; Lactobacillales; Enterococcaceae.
UUAAGUGAAUAAGGGCGCACGGUGGAUGCCUUGGCACUAGGAGCCGAUGAAGGACGGGACUAACACCGAUAUGCUUUGGGGAGCUGUAAGUAAGCUAUGAUCCAGAGAUUUCCGAAUGGGGGAACCCAAUAUCUUUUAUAGGAUAUUACUUUUCAGUGAAUACAUAGCUGAUUAGAGGUAGACGCAGAGAACUGAAACAUCUUAGUAUCUGCAGGAAGAGAAAGAAAAUUCGAUUCCCUGAGUAGCGGCGAGCGAAACGGGAAGAGCCCAAACCAACAAGCUUGCUUGUUGGGGUUGUAGGACUCCGAUAUGGUAGUCUGUUAGUAUAGUUGAAGGAUUUGGAAAAUUCCGCUAAAGAGGGUGAAAGCCCCGUAGACGAAAUGCUAACAACACCUAGGAGGAUCCUGAGUACGGCGGAACACGAGAAAUUCCGUCGGAAUCCGCGGGGACCAUCCCGCAAGGCUAAAUACUCCCUAGUGACCGAUAGUGAACCAGUACCGUGAGGGAAAGGUGAAAAGCACCCCGGAAGGGGAGUGAAAUAGAUCCUGAAACCGUGUGCCUACAACAAGUCAAAGCUCGUUAAUGAGUGAUGGCGUGCCUUUUGUAGAAUGAACCGGCGAGUUACGAUUGCAUGCGAGGUUAAGUCGAAGAGACGGAGCCGCAGCGAAAGCGAGUCUGAAUAGGGCGAAUGAGUAUGUAGUCGUAGACCCGAAACCAUGUGAUCUACCCAUGUCCAGGUUGAAGGUGCGGUAAAACGCACUGGAGGACCGAACCCACGUACGUUGAAAAGUGCGGGGAUGAGGUGUGGGUAGCGGAGAAAUUCCAAACGAACUUGGAGAUAGCUGGUUCUCUCCGAAAUAGCUUUAGGGCUAGCCUCGGAAUUGAGAAUGAUGGAGGUAGAGCACUGUUUGGACUAGGGGCCCAUCUCGGGUUACCGAAUUCAGAUAAACUCCGAAUGCCAUUCAUUUAUAUCCGGGAGUCAGACUGCGAGUGAUAAGAUCCGUAGUCGAAAGGGAAACAGCCCAGACCACCAGCUAAGGUCCCAAAAUAUAUGUUAAGUGGAAAAGGAUGUGGGGUUGCACAGACAACUAGGAUGUUGGCUUAGAAGCAGCCACCAUUUAAAGAGUGCGUAAUAGCUCACUAGUCGAGUGACCCUGCGCCGAAAAUGUACCGGGGCUAAACAUAUUACCGAAGCUGUGGACUACACCAUUAGGUGUAGUGGUAGGAGAGCGUUCUAAGGGCGUUGAAGGUCGAUCGUGAGGACGGCUGGAGCGCUUAGAAGUGAGAAUGCCGGUAUGAGUAGCGAAAGACAGGUGAGAAUCCUGUCCACCGUAUGACUAAGGUUUCCUGGGGAAGGCUCGUCCGCCCAGGGUUAGUCGGGACCUAAGCCGAGGCCGAUAGGCGUAGGCGAUGGACAACAGGUUGAUAUUCCUGUACCAGUUGUUUUUGUUUGAGCAAUGGAGGGACGCAGUAGGCUAAGGAAUGCAUGCGAUUGGAAGUGCAUGUCCAAGCAAUGAGUCUUGAGUAGAGUUAAAUGCUUUACUCUCUAAGGACAAGUUGUGACGGGGAGCGAAAUAAUAGUAGCGAAGUUCCUGAUGUCACACUGCCAAGAAAAGCUUCUAGUGAGAAAACAACUGCCCGUACCGUAAACCGACACAGGUAGUCGAGGAGAGUAUCCUAAGGUGAGCGAGCGAACUCUCGUUAAGGAACUCGGCAAAAUGACCCCGUAACUUCGGGAGAAGGGGUGCUGACUUCGGUCAGCCGCAGUGAAUAGGCCCAAGCGACUGUUUAUCAAAAACACAGGUCUCUGCAAAAUCGUAAGAUGAAGUAUAGGGGCUGACGCCUGCCCGGUGCUGGAAGGUUAAGAGGAUGGGUUAGCUUCGGCGAAGCUCAGAAUUGAAGCCCCAGUAAACGGCGGCCGUAACUAUAACGGUCCUAAGGUAGCGAAAUUCCUUGUCGGGUAAGUUCCGACCCGCACGAAAGGCGUAACGAUUUGGGCACUGUCUCAACGAGAGACUCGGUGAAAUUUUAGUACCUGUGAAGAUGCAGGUUACCCGCGACAGGACGGAAAGACCCCAUGGAGCUUUACUGUAGUUUGAUAUUGAGUGUUUGUACCACAUGUACAGGAUAGGUAGGAGCCGAUGAGACCGGAACGCUAGUUUCGGAGGAGGCGCUGGUGGGAUACUACCCUUGUGUUAUGAACCCUCUAACCCGCACCACUAAUCGUGGUGGGAGACAGUGUCAGAUGGGCAGUUUGACUGGGGCGGUCGCCUCCUAAAAGGUAACGGAGGCGCCCAAAGGUUCCCUCAGAAUGGUUGGAAAUCAUUCGAAGAGUGUAAAGGCAGAAGGGAGCUUGACUGCGAGACCUACAAGUCGAGCAGGGACGAAAGUCGGGCUUAGUGAUCCGGUGGUUCCGCAUGGAAGGGCCAUCGCUCAACGGAUAAAAGCUACCCUGGGGAUAACAGGCUUAUCUCCCCCAAGAGUCCACAUCGACGGGGAGGUUUGGCACCUCGAUGUCGGCUCGUCGCAUCC